CAGCACCCACCAGUCACCGAUUCAACACAGCACCCACGUUCCUCCCAGUCUUCCACCCAGCCAUUGAUUCAAGUCAGAUAUGGAGCCCGAGCCACCGAGUCAGUUCAUCCUGAAAGUUGGAAUCCUAUGUGGUCUGUUUCAAGCAUACUCACAGGGCUUCUUUCAUUCAUGAUGGACAACAGCCCAACCACCGGUAGUGUAAACAUCACCUCCGCCGAGAAGCAGUGUUUAGCAAAUCCUCCCUUUCUUUCAAUUGCAAGAAGUAGGUCUAUUGCAUCAUCUUUUCCCAAGUCACCGUAGAAUUUAGCAAGGUCUCUACAAUUUGU
Non-coding RNA from Arachis ipaensis, 326 nucleotides. The record is from RefSeq and is a predicted model, not a curated record. NCBI's taxonomy places the organism in Eukaryota, Viridiplantae, Streptophyta, Magnoliopsida, Fabales, Fabaceae.